CCUACGGGAGGCAGCAGUGAGGAAUAUUGGUCAAUGGGCGGGAGCCUGAACCAGCCAAGUCGCGUGAGGGAAGACGGUCCUACGGAUUGUAAACCUCUUUUGCCGGGGAGCAACGGGGUCCUUGCGAGGGCCCGAUGAGAGUACCCGGAGAAAAAGCAUCGGCUAACUCCGUGCCAGCAGCCGCGGUAAUACGUAGGGAGCGAGCGUUGUCCGGAAUUACUGGGUGUAAAGGGAGCGUAGGCGGGACUGCAAGUUGGGUGUCAAAUCUACCGGCUCAACCGGUAGCCGCACUCAAAACUGCAGUUCUUGAGUGAAGUAGAGGCAGGCGGAAUUCCUAGUGUAGCGGUGAAAUGCGUAGAUAUUAGGAGGAACACCAGUGGCGAAGGCGGCCUGCUGGGCUUUUACUGACGCUGAGGCUCGAAAGUGUGGGGAGCAAACAGGAUUAGAUACCCCAGUAGUC
RNAcentral lists this ribosomal RNA (460 nucleotides) under uncultured bacterium. Its description in RNAcentral is "partial 16S ribosomal RNA". It matches the Rfam family "Bacterial small subunit ribosomal RNA", at positions 338 to 795 of the family's 1533-position model. The record is from RNAcentral.